AGCUUUGCACAGUGGCAGUAUCGUAGCCAAUGAGGUUUAUCCAAGGCGCGAUUAUUGCUAAUUGAAACUGAAGGAACAUCCCGAGAGCUAGGGCAACAUAAAUAUGUUUUGUGUUAGCCAACUACUACUGGGCAUGCGACCUGGCCACAAAUGU
Rattus norvegicus (Norway rat) is the source of this 154-nucleotide small nuclear RNA. Ensembl annotates it as U4 spliceosomal RNA. NCBI's taxonomy places the organism in Eukaryota, Metazoa, Chordata, Mammalia, Rodentia, Muridae. The record is from Ensembl.